Molecule: long non-coding RNA, 232 nt
Filed under: Elaeis guineensis (African oil palm)
Lineage: Eukaryota; Viridiplantae; Streptophyta; Magnoliopsida; Arecales; Arecaceae
Description: long non-coding RNA (EGUI_LNC064571)
Source: RNAcentral
CCUGCAAUACUGGCACUAGGUUAAAUGUCAAUUGUAUUGAUCGUUUAACACUAGAAUAAUUCUUAGUUAUUGAUCAACCAUCCGAUCGGAUCGUGAACUCUAAAAUGUGUGACCUCAUAGGUCCGAAUCUAAGUCGGUAGCACAAAAAUAAAUUUUUAUACUAAUCGAAGUGACCAUCUAGUAAUGGUACCCGACGGUCGGAUAGGUCGAAUAUAUAGAACAAUAUCCUUAG